UACAGAGGGUGCGAGCGUUGUCCGGAAUCACUGGGCGUAAAGGGCGCGUAGGCGGUCUGGUAAGCGUGUGGUGAAAGCUCGGGGCUCAACCCCGAGUCGGCCGUGCGAACUGCUGGACUGGAGCAUGUCAGAGGCAGGCGGAAUUCCGGGUGUAGCGGUGGAAUGCGUAGAGAUCCGGAAGAACACCGGUGGCGAAGGCGGACUGCUGGGACAUGGCUGACGCUGAGGCGCGACAGCGUGGGGAGCAAACAGG
RNAcentral lists this ribosomal RNA (253 nucleotides) under uncultured bacterium. RNAcentral's name for it is "partial 16S ribosomal RNA". It matches the Rfam family "Bacterial small subunit ribosomal RNA", at positions 524 to 776 of the family's 1533-position model. The record is from RNAcentral.